CUGAGAAACAUUGAUUUUAUUUACAUGACCUGUACAAAAAACAAAACAAAAAAAUAGACAUGUAAACUGGAUUAAUUACUCAAUAUUUACAAAAUAUAAUCCAAUUGUUAUUAAAAGUACAAAAAAAAAUCUGCAAAAAAAUGCAUUUGAAGUAUGAAAUUGUAUUUUUGCAGCAGUUUUACAACACUUAAAGUUACAUUUUAUUGUCACAAUUCAUCCAACGGAUUAAUUCAAUGAUUAAUAACAGGACAUAUUACACAGAUUAACAGGAGGUGGGCUCAGGUUUGGCGCAGUGAGCUGUGGGAGACAAAGUCAUUAAAGAUUGUGUUAAACAUUCCUUGCUGAAUAAAAUAUGAAUAUCACCCAAAAAAACAAAAAUAAAGAAUCACUUAAAGGUUUGCCAAAAUUCACAUUUUUUCCAGGCAUCACAAAUUCUACUCUACACUCAUGUGAAAGGCAGAGGACUCUGACCAGUUAAAAAAAACUCUAUUGCCAUACCAGCACAAAAAUCAUUUAGAAUUUCUCCAUGCCAGGUUUAAAAUUAAUAAAUGUCAGAUAUGUUUUUUAUUGCAAACACUCGGUAACUGUUUGCCCAGGUGAGAAAAAAAACAAACAUACAUACAAAAACAUUAGUACAAGAAAUGGAAUUCAAAAAAAAUAAAUAAAGCAUAGCACCUAAAAAUAAAUAUUGAUUAUUUAAAAAGAGGGGAAAAACACCCUUCUUGUUAUUAAGAGUAAGGCAAACAUUCCAAAACUGAUGCAGGAGUCUUAAAAAAAAUGCCAAGAUGUGACAACAGCAGAUUUGGGGAAAUUGUCUAAAUCGCUUAUUUAUGUAAAUGUUUUGUAAUUCAAUUCACUAGAAUUUGAGGUUUAGUAAAUAAUCUCCAUAUAAAUCAUUAACCAUUGAGCUUAAUCUUGUAUCAUCAGACUCAUAUUGUAGAAGGAGGGUGCUCGAAUAGGACACACUUUCGUAGCAGAAAAAACAAAACAAUUACUGAAUUACGGGGAAAUGGCUUUUUUAUCCAGGACACCAUUAUUUGCGCAGGAAAACACAAUCAAUGUUUUUCACUAAAAUGAGAAUUGUCAGGGAUUCACAGAGAAUUCAUAUUGAAGGUCCAUGAAGAUGACUGGAAGCAUGGCGGACUUAAUAGAACCUAUCAGUCAUUUGCUUUGGCCUUAAAUGUAAAAUUAUCUUUGAAUUCCUGACAAUUGUUACUUCACUGAAUAAUCGUGAAUGGAUUUGGUAAUCAUUCACUGGGGAAAUAAUUCUCACCUGCAGGUCUCCUCCAAUUUGUCUGGAGCUGCUGGUAGUUAAGGUAAAUUUACAGACAUUUAUAAUGUGAGUUUCGCAAUCCAAACAUGUUCAUACCGAUCUGGUUUUUCACUCAACUGCAAAUUGUGGCAGAGACUCCAAAAAAGGAUUGGCAGAGAAUUGAUAAAGGAAUUGCAACUAUUAGUUCAAAAUAUCUAAACAGGAAA
This is a non-coding RNA of Pelobates cultripes (western spadefoot toad), 1479 nucleotides long. The record is from the annotation of a GenBank genome assembly. NCBI's taxonomy places the organism in Eukaryota, Metazoa, Chordata, Amphibia, Anura, Pelobatidae.